AGAACGAACGCUGGCGGCGUGCUUAACACAUGCAAGUCGAACGCGAAAGGGACUUCGGUCCUGAGUAAAGUGGCGCACGGGUGAGUAACGCGUAGAUAACCUGUCUUCAUGUCUGGAAUAAUACGCCGAAAGGGGUACUAAUACCGGAUAUUCUUGCUUUUCAUAAGUUAUGCAAGCAAAGGUGGCCUCUGCAUAUGCUACUGCAUGAAGAGGGGUCUGCGUACCAUUAGCUAGUAGGUGGGGUAAUGGCCUACCUAGGCGACGAUGGUUAGCGGGUCUGAGAGGAUGAUCCGCCACACUGGCACUGGAACACGGGCCAGACUCCUACGGGAGGCAGCAGUGAGGAAUAUUGCGCAAUGGGGGAAACCCUGACGCAGCGACGCCGCGUGAGUGAGGAAAGGCCUUCGGGUCGUAAAGCUCUGUCAAGAGGAAAGAAGUGUACAAUGGCUAAUACCUGUUGUAUUUGACGGUACCUCUAAAGGAAGCACCGGCUAACUCCGUGCCAGCAGCAGC
This 513-nucleotide ribosomal RNA is filed under the name uncultured bacterium. RNAcentral describes it as "bacterial SSU rRNA". It matches the Rfam family "Bacterial small subunit ribosomal RNA", at positions 26 to 518 of the family's 1533-position model. The record is from RNAcentral.